ACGAUAGACAUACGACGAUCCUUGGAAUUAAUCAAGAAGACUCUUCAAAGUCUGAAGAUUGAAAAGUCUGUAGAAAUCCCAGGAGGUUGCUCUCCGUCGAGCGCGGAGCAGUUGGGAAUACAAGGUGAUGAAUCAGAAAAGUCCAGACGAGUUUGGGAGUUCUCAAAAUUGGAAAGUUGACAUGGGAGUGGGAUAUGAAUACCAAGGUUCGACGAGUCGACG
This 222-nucleotide long non-coding RNA is filed under the name Lathyrus oleraceus (garden pea). Its description in RNAcentral is "Pisum sativum (pea) long non-coding RNA (PSAT_LNC013685)". The record is from RNAcentral. Lineage: Eukaryota; Viridiplantae; Streptophyta; Magnoliopsida; Fabales; Fabaceae.